This 1132-nucleotide non-coding RNA is filed under the name Pan troglodytes (chimpanzee). The record is from RNAcentral. Lineage: Eukaryota; Metazoa; Chordata; Mammalia; Primates; Hominidae.
AUUUUAACCACCUUUUCUUAAUGAAACCUGGAUUUCAAGCACUAUUUCCUAGUAGAAAUUGAAUAAUGUAGUAAAGAAAUCGACUACUUCAUUUCUAAAUUUAUAACUCAAAUCCAGGAGCAGGUUUAGUCACACUGAGUCUGAAUUACCAGCAGAUAGUUUUAAUGAAAUGUUCACAAAUGACUAUAUUGCUACGUAACAAGAAGAAUAAAUUGUGCUGUUUACACUUCCAAGAAAUUAAAGGGGAUGAAAGAUACAUUGGUCCCUGCAGUGGGAAGUUUCCUUGACAAUGCAAUUAUUGAUUCCAGGCACAUGACAGAAUUGCUCUGUUGAAGUUUUGCAAGGUCAAAUGACUCACUUUGUCUAAUGGAAUGGGAACGAACAAUUUUUUUGUGUCACGUUUGAACAGAUACCUUUGAGAAGUUUAUGAUUCUCCAAGUUCUCUUUCUCCUACUGUGGCACCUACUGACAAGAUAAAUGUGUAGAGGUUCCUGAGUCUAGGGGCACUGGAACCAGCUGACUGAUCUAUGGAAGUUCCCUUGGUCUACAUUUGUUUAGAAAAGGGACUGGUCAAAGGCUGACGUUUGCUUUUGGUGACAUUGCAUUAAUUGUCUCCCAUGAGACUGCUAGGGUGCUGAAGGGAUGAAGAAACUGAGGCCCACAGAAGGUGGGUGAUACCUGCAAAAUCACAAGCUUUCAUGGUGAAAGAAGAGGGCAAAACUCAACCCGUCUCUUCAGACUUGGGAAGAAUAUGAAAGGACCAGGAGGGACACCUUUCCUAAUAACCUAGCUGAUGGUUCACUUAUUAGGCUGGAAAGCUAAAAAAUGACAUUCCCAGACUCCAUUGGAAUUAGAUUUCCAGAGGUUGUCUCACUAAGCCCAAAUUUGUCUAACUGGCCUUAUUUCCCUGGAGUAUACCCUGGAAGUCUCCAUUCAAGCCAAUUUAAGUUACUUUAAAUUAGGAAAGGCAGAAAACAAAAGCCCAAACCUUUGUAAAGGAGGAGGAUUUGCUACAUUGUUCUCAAUUCAUCACAGAAGAGGAUGAAACUGAGUGAUUACACUUGCUGGAGAGAAAAAAAGUCCUUCCCCCGCUCACCCCAAAUAAAGCAUUAACUGUAUGUUAAUCCAUGAA